RNAcentral lists this long non-coding RNA (1158 nucleotides) under Oryctolagus cuniculus (rabbit). Its description in RNAcentral is "lncRNA (ENSOCUG00000035417.1)". The record is from RNAcentral. Lineage: Eukaryota; Metazoa; Chordata; Mammalia; Lagomorpha; Leporidae.
GUGAGCCGUGCCGCGGUGGCUGUAAAAGUCCGCCGUCUCCACAGCAGAAGUGGCCGUGGGCCGGCGCCGCGGCUCACUAGGCUAAUCCUCCACCUAGCGGCGCCGGCACACCGGGUUCUAGUCCCGGUCGGGGCGCCGGAUUCUGUCCCGGUUGCCCCUCUUCCAGGCCAGCUCUCUGCUGUGGCCCGGGAGUGCAGUGGAGGAUGGCCCAAGUGCUUGGGCCCUGCACCCCAUGGGAGACCAGGAGAAGCACCUGGCUCCUGCUAUCGGAUCAGCGCGGUGCGCUGGCUGCAGCGCGCCAGCCGCGGCGGCCAUUGGAGGGUGAACCAACGGCAAAGGAGGACUUUUCUCUCUGUCUCUCUCUCUCACUGUCCACUCUGCCUGUCAAAAAAAAAAAAAAAAAGUGGCCGUGAACCUUCCACUGUGGAGACGGGGGCAGAGGCAAGCCAGCACGUGGGGCGCCACGUUACAGAGGGUGCUGGAGCCUGGGGUCCCCUGUCCCCCAAGGCUGCCCCUGCUCGCAGCCUGCCCUGUGCCGUCAGAGCACAGCCCGGAUUUGACUUAGUGAGCAGAUGGUGUGCUGGGAUCCCGCGUUCGCAAGCACCUGUGUUCCGGCAGGCUCUGGCCUGGGUGCUGCAGACACAGCACAGGCUCAGGGACUGUGCCAGCCUUCCACCCUUCCAGUCAGGCGACAGUGACAGGCGCUGGCCCGUGGCGGCUCCUGGGCUCCCUCGGGGACUGUGGAGGCGUGGUGCUGCCGCCUGGGGCUGGCCAUGCGCAGGAGAGACCCGGCCCGGCCAGGGAGUGCAGGGGCUGUGCCUCACUGUGGCGCCUUGCAACACUGGCGCUCUCUGCCCCGUGCUGCCUCGCGGCCUCUCCUGCCGCACCGGGCGCUCAGGCCGGGGAGGGCAGAGGGGCACCGCGCGUGGUCCCCGGACGAGGUGGACGUUGGCGGUGGUGUUUCCCCAGCUCUGGCAGAGGCUGCGACGGUAUUUCUGGCUUUGUUGCUAUGUCAACCCCUGGGCUGGAGGCAGUCGGUCCUCAGCUGUCCCCUCCCUGCGUGGGGGCUGUGGGCAGUGGCGCAGAUGGGCACCACGCCUGUGGGUAACGUCUGCUGCACUCGGAGGGCUGAGGACCGAGAUCCGGGCCGGGGCCUGA